CCCCUAGAUGUUCUGGGCCGCACGCGCGCUACACUGAACAGUUCAACAAGUCUUAACCUUGGCCGAUAGGUUUGGGUAAUCUUUGAACGCUGUUCGUGAUUGGGAUAGACCUUUGCAAUUAUGGGUCUUCAACGAGGAAUUCCUAGUAAACGCAAGUCAUCAGCUUGCAUUGAUUACGUCCCUGCCCUUUGUACACACCGCCCGUCGCACCUACCGAUUGAAUGGUCCGGUGAAAUCUCGGGACGGCGGCUUGGUCGCUUGCGUCCGACUGCUGAAACUUGAUUAAACCAUAUCAUUUAGAGGAAGGUGAAGUCGUANCA
Molecule: ribosomal RNA, 320 nt
Filed under: uncultured eukaryote
Lineage: Eukaryota
Description: partial 18S ribosomal RNA
Rfam family: Eukaryotic small subunit ribosomal RNA
Source: RNAcentral